UAGGGAAUCUUCCACAAUGGACGCAAGUCUGAUGGAGCAACGCCGCGUGAGUGAAGAAGGCUUUCGGGUCGUAAAACUCUGUUGUUGGAGAAGAAUGGUCGGCAGAGUAACUGUUGUCGGCGUGACGGUAUCCAACCAGAAAGCCACGGCUAACUACGUGCCAGCAGCCGCGGUAAUACGUAGGUGGCAAGCGUUAUCCGGAUUUAUUGGGCGUAAAGCGAGCGCAGGCGGUUUUUUAAGUCUGAUGUGAAAGCCCUCGGCUUAACCGAGGAAGUGCAUCGGAACUGGAAAACUUGAGUGCAGA
RNAcentral lists this ribosomal RNA (304 nucleotides) under uncultured bacterium. RNAcentral describes it as "partial 16S ribosomal RNA". It matches the Rfam family "Bacterial small subunit ribosomal RNA", at positions 355 to 652 of the family's 1533-position model. The record is from RNAcentral.